CUUUGUGACUGUAUUUACUGUACUUUUCCAUCGGUUUUCUUAUUCUUGUUAAUCUUGUUUCGAUUUUCUGUACCAAUAUCAUUAUCAUCUGCUCUAUAAUAUACAGUUGUUCAAAUUCUCUUAACUCAGAAGACGAAUAUGUAAUGAAACUCGGUAUACAGAUUAUUAUUAAUAAGGUAAUACUAAUGCCAAAUGAGUUUGGAUCCCAGGGGUCAACUCUCAGUGCUAUUAAGUAGAACAGGGGAGUUGAUAAUUGCGAGAAUAAGACGCGAAAAAAAAGAGGUGGAAUCACAUUUUUGUGUGAUGUAUGGUAGGGAGACAUCCUGUAUUGGAGGCGUGGUCAACAGUUGUUUCAGCCGGGCGAAGGCGUUCUGUUCAGAUUCUUCCCAUUUGAAUAAGGCAUUUUUACUGGAUCAGCCUGUAUACCAUCUGGUAUGGAGGUACACGCGAAAGUACAUUUCUGACGAUGCGCACUUAGUUUAAACAUGACAAAGAUAAUAUUAGACAUCUUUGAACAGUAGUCUCUCAAAUACAUACAUUUCGCACUUUUACGUGCGAUAAUCCCACUUGGAAUGGAUCUACGCGUCUUUGAAAUGUUGAAGCCGCAUUACGCAACCCGAAAGGCAUACAUCGAAAACGGAAAAUACCGAAAGGAGUCAGGAACCCUGUUUUGUCUCGGUCAUCUGGUUAAUGGCAUCGAUUUACAUUGGGGACAUUGGGACCUUACGUAGUCAGGUCUACCACAUCCAAAGCGCACCAGUUUGUUGUUGACGCUUGCAACAUUGUGUUCUGCAGAGGUUAUUGGCACUGCUCUAUGUUACAGCAUAUAUCCUACAAUCUGUUUUCAGAUAAGUUAUGGCAAUAGUCACAUCUAGGUUUAAUCGUAUUAGGUUGGUUGAUAGAGAAUGAGGUGUACCUUCGAGAAGUUCGCAGAUUUGCUUUAUCUGUAAAAUUUUCUUUAAUAGAACGCGCCUUGUCAAUCAGCGUGGCUAAGUUAUUUACUUUGUCUCGGAGUAACCGUUCUCUUAUUCGUAAACUGAGAAGUGUGUAAACCAUGUUUAGUUUGUGAACUUCGUGUAGGCCCGGAGUAAACGCGAUAAACGCAAACGUGGGUUAGCUACGAAGAAUUCAGUUGGUUCGUUAUCCACUUGUUGUUUCGAAAAAAAAUCACUAAAAAUUUGGUGUGGCGGUUUACUAAAUGCAAAAGCAUGGCAAAGAGCUUUUUAAUCUUAAAAUCUAACUUUUGCACUCAGCUUAAAGAUUCUCAUUAUUUAAUAUUACCUACAUUUAAACGAAAAUCAUAACGAUGUCAUUCCGAUCGCACAACUUAAAAUACCGAAUCAUCCCAUAAAUGGACUGAAAUAACGGGCGUUGCAGAAACUUAGGUCUCCUGAUUGAACGGCUAUUGUAAGUCAAAUUGGUAUUUCUUCUCAAACUCAAAAUUCCGCCGCAUUGACAGAAAACAAAACACGCGGCACCCUGAUAACUAGCGGAUAUAACAGCAGGACCAUCGCGUGAUUGUAGUUAAUUUCAUCUUAAGCGGCUACUUUUCGGCGCUUCCAACUUUCACACGCGUUUAACUGAUCAGGGUCGCACUCAUAACUAUUCGACCACAUAAAAAAUCGAAAACUUCAGGAAAUUCAAAUUAAAUAAACUCCAUUGGCGGACUCCUGUUACAAUACCCCGUCCUUGUAUUUAAACUAAUUACCUUAAUUAUUUUGAAAACACAUCGUUUUCUAUCGUUUGUAAAUGGUCGAUUAUCGUAGAUCCGUUUUUCACAUUCGCCGUUCUGGAUUUGUUCCAUCUUUCCCUCAAGUUUAUAAUUUUUUUGUUGGUCAUUCCCACUUUUCAAGUGUUUUUGUAGCUUUUUUUUAAACCCGUAACGUCUAUUAAUACCGGUCGCUUAAAAUGAUCUCCCCCCCCCGCCCCUUUUCAUCUUCCUGGAUGCCGGUUCUUAGUUUCUUCGGUAGUAGGUCCGCGCACAAUUGGUAUGAAAAAUAAACAAAUUACAAAUUAUUCAAAAUUAUUCAAACGCCACCAACGGAAUACGACCAUGCCCCUGGUCCAGGUCGGCGACAGUGGCGAAACGGUCGCGGAAGUCUCGGGUAAACUCAAUCAAAGUAAACGCCAGCUCCAGGAUUCAGACGAAUUCAGCACAUGGCAGCGGCGGUCACUUCGGAAGCACUAAAACAAAAUUCGAGGCAGGGCCCAUACUGCAGCUUCCCUAGUAGGAAUGAAAGCAACAAAACACAAAUUAAUUAGCGGUGUGUACGGGAACGCAAAUGUAGGAAAGUGAAAUAAUAUCCAUCUUCAUAAUUAAUGGAACACAAAGCAGCAAAAAGCUGUACAUACGGUGCAGUCAACUUAAUGCAGAAGCAUAAAUUAAGCGGUACGAAUACAAAACUAUAAUCACCUCUAAACAACGACAUUAGCUUUUAUAAAAAUCGGUCAUUUUAUUGUUAGACCCGUGUAUUCGGAUAAGAACGUCCAAAAAUUAUAACUUUUUUGAUUAAUUUCUCGGCCUCUGGUCAUCAUACAAAUCGGGGACAUACUACAAAAUUUCAAUUAAUUAAGCGCGCUUCUAAUGAAAUCGCGACUUAAUCGCAACUCAUUUAAUUAGCUACUGUUCAUUACUCGUUUAAAUGGGCGAAAUGAAAUUUCAGACUUCGUCCUUCUAAUUAACCCCCAUUAUCUCUUGGAAUUUCUCAGGUCAGGCAAAACGUCUCUUAUCAAACUUAUACCGGCGCAAACCUGCGUGGCUUUGCAGUUUUAACGCUCGGUUUCAUAUACAAUUGGAAACUAAAAACUAAAAUAUUAAUUUCCCCUCGUCUUCUAAUGACAAGAGCUUUCGGACGCAACAAAGAUAAAUGAAAUAUCUUGACGGGAACGGUUGCAAACGGCGAAUUAAUUACUUUUCCCUUGUAUCUUGAACUUCUAGAACAAACAUAAAUACUUUCGGCAUAAAUAUCCCGCACGCAGGCGGUCUAUAAAUAAAAUAAAACAAUCUUAAAAUUACUUACGGUUUUUUUCAAAUAAUCCCAAUAAUCUGGUCGUAAAAGGUUCGCGAUAUUCAGGCGCACUUAUCAGUCACUUAAUCUUCUGACUCAGGAAUUGUUAAAUCAACCGCCCAUCGCAAUUAAACUUGAUAACGUCAGCUUCGAAGGAACGCGUCUCACACUUCUCCAAUAUGAAACGCGCAAUUCUUUGAACCCAGAUGAGUCCUAUUUAAAGCAUCUUAUCUAAAUCGAAUAUUACACAAUUACAAACAAUUACUAAAGAAAAGAUAGACACUGAGAUAACAAAUUCAAGUGCAACUUUAUACUUAUUCGUCAACCAUCCCCCGGAUUUACACUGAUAAAAUUGAAAUAUUAUCCUGUCAUUAUUUUUGGUGUUUAAACCGAAAUAACGUCUACCUGACG
This is a long non-coding RNA of Photinus pyralis (common eastern firefly), 3419 nucleotides long. RefSeq lists it as uncharacterized. The transcript is spliced from 3 exons. NCBI's taxonomy places the organism in Eukaryota, Metazoa, Arthropoda, Insecta, Coleoptera, Lampyridae. The record is from RefSeq and is a predicted model, not a curated record.